RNAcentral lists this non-coding RNA (110 nucleotides) under Lotharella globosa. The record is from RNAcentral. Lineage: Eukaryota; Cercozoa; Chlorarachniophyceae.
AAAGAAUUCAGAUGAAACCAAGAAUAUGUUCAGUUUUUAUUCGGGUGUUUCGUUUUCUUCAUCUUUUUUUUUGCUUCAGUUUUUUGUUGGUCUCGUCUUUCGAGUCCCUA